GAGGAGAGAGGAGAGAGAGAGAGAGAGAGAGAGAGAGAGAGAGAGAAUCUUUUAAUAUUUAUUUAUUUUAGUUCUCGGCGGACACAACAUCUUGGUUUGUAUGUGGUGCUGAGGAUCGAACUGGGGCCGCACGCAUGCCAGGCGAGAGCGCUACCGCUUGAGCCACAUCCCCAGCCCGGUUCUAACCCUUUCAACGUGAAGAUUUUCUUCCUUGGUAGAAAAAAUAAAAAGACAAUAGGGAUCACUGCCAUAGAUUUCCAUACCUUUGCUCACAUUGAGCUCUCUCUCUCUCUCUCUCUCUCUCUCUCUCUCUCUCUCUCUCUCUUUCU
RNAcentral lists this microRNA precursor (329 nucleotides) under Marmota monax (woodchuck). The record is from RNAcentral. Lineage: Eukaryota; Metazoa; Chordata; Mammalia; Rodentia; Sciuridae.